GGAUUGUGGCUCAAAGGUAGAGCACUCGCCUAGCAUGGCCAGGACCUGGGUUCGAUCCUCAGCACCA
RNAcentral lists this transfer RNA (67 nucleotides) under Marmota monax (woodchuck). RNAcentral describes it as "tRNA.Ala". Lineage: Eukaryota; Metazoa; Chordata; Mammalia; Rodentia; Sciuridae. The record is from RNAcentral.